GACGAACGCUGGCGGCGUGCUUAACACAUGCAAGUCGAGCGGUAAGGCCCUUCGGGGUACACGAGCGGCGAACGGGUGAGUAACACGUGGGUGACCUGCCUCUAGCUCUGGGAUAAGCCUGGGAAACUGGGUCUAAUACCGGAUAUGACUCCACGGCGCAUGUUGUGGGGUGGAAAGCCUUGUGCGGCUAGAGAUGGGCCCGCGGCCUAUCAGCUUGUUGGUGGGGUGANGGCCUACCAAGGCGACGACGGGUAGCCGGCCUGAGAGGGCGACCGGCCACACUGGGACUGAGACACGGCCCAGACUCCUACGGGAGGCAGCAGUGGGGAAUCUUGCGCAAUGGGCUAACGCCUGACGCAGCAACGCCGCGUGGAGGAUGAAGGUCCUUGG
This 390-nucleotide ribosomal RNA is filed under the name uncultured bacterium. RNAcentral describes it as "bacterial SSU rRNA". It matches the Rfam family "Bacterial small subunit ribosomal RNA", at positions 28 to 421 of the family's 1533-position model. The record is from RNAcentral.